Molecule: ribosomal RNA, 371 nt
Filed under: uncultured bacterium
Lineage: Bacteria
Description: bacterial SSU rRNA
Rfam family: Bacterial small subunit ribosomal RNA
Source: RNAcentral
GUAGGUGGCAAGCGUUGUCCGGAUUUACUGGGCGUAAAGAGCGCGCAGGCGGUCGUGCAAGUCGCGUGUGAAAGCCCCCGGCUCAACUGGGGAGGGUCACGCAAUACUGCUCGACUCGAAGGCAGGAGAGGGAAGUGGAAUUCCCGGUGUAGUGGUGAAAUGCGUAGAUAUCGGGAGGAACACCAGUGGCGAAGGCGACUUCCUGGCCUGUUCUUGACGCUGAGGCGCGAAAGCUAGGGUAGCAAACGGGAUUAGAUACCCCGGUAGUCCUAGCCGUAAACGAUGGACACUAGGUGUUGGUGGUAUCAACCCCGCCAGUGCCGAAGCUAACGCAUUAAGUGUCCCGCCUGGGGAGUACGGCCGCAAGGCUA